GAUGAACGCUGGCGGCGUGCCUAAUACAUGCAAGUCGAGCGAACAGAUGAGGAGCUUGCUCCUCUGACGUUAGCGGCGGACGGGUGAGUAACACGUGGAUAACCUACCUAUAAGACUGGGAUAACUUCGGGAAACCGGAGCUAAUACCGGAUAAUAUAUUGAACCGCAUGGUUCAAUAGUGAAAGACGGUUUUGCUGUCACUUAUAGAUGGAUCCGCGCCGCAUUAGCUAGUUGGUAAGGUAACGGCUUACCAAGGCAACGAUGCGUAGCCGACCUGAGAGGGUGAUCGGCCACACUGGAACUGAGACACGGUCCAGACUCCUACGGGAGGCAGCAGUAGGGAAUCUUCCGCAAAGGGCGAAAGCCUGACGGAGCAACGCCGCGUGAGUGAUGAAGGUCUUCGGAUCGUAAAACUCUGUUAUUAGGGAAGAACAAAUGUGUAAGUAACUAUGCACGUCUUGACGGUACCCAAUCAGAAAGCCACGGCUAACUACGUG
This 497-nucleotide ribosomal RNA is filed under the name uncultured bacterium. RNAcentral describes it as "partial 16S ribosomal RNA". It matches the Rfam family "Bacterial small subunit ribosomal RNA", at positions 28 to 507 of the family's 1533-position model. The record is from RNAcentral.